GAUGAAGAACGUAGCGAAAUGCGAUAAGUAAUGUGAAUUGCAGAAUUCAGUGAAUCAUCGAAUCUUUGAACGCACAUUGCGCCCCUUGGUAUUCCGAGGGGCAUGCCUGUUCGAGCGUCAUUAUAACCCUUCAAGCUCAGCUUGGUGUUGGGGCCUGCUGUAACUGGUAGCCCUUAAAAUCAGUGGCAGUGCUAUUAGGCUCUAAGCGUAGUAAUUCUUCUCGCUAUAGUGUGUAGUGAGCGCUUGCCAGAACCCCAAACUUUUAUAUGAUUGACCUCGGAUCAGGUAGGGAUACCCGCUGAACUUAAGCAUUCAAUAAGCGGAGGA
RNAcentral lists this unclassified non-coding RNA (327 nucleotides) under soil metagenome. RNAcentral describes it as "partial contains 5.8S ribosomal RNA, internal transcribed spacer 2, and large subunit ribosomal RNA". The stretch from base 1 to 120 matches the Rfam family "5.8S ribosomal RNA", at positions 35 to 154 of the family's 154-position model. The record is from RNAcentral.